Molecule: non-coding RNA, 110 nt
Organism: Plectosphaerella plurivora
Lineage: Eukaryota; Fungi; Ascomycota; Sordariomycetes; Glomerellales; Plectosphaerellaceae
Source: the annotation of a GenBank genome assembly
GGCAAGGUGGCCGAGUGGUUAAGGCGAUAGACUCGAAUGAUCUUGGUUCCCCAGGCGAUUUCUGCUAUCUAUUGGGUUCGCCCGCGUAGGUUCAAAUCCUGCCCUUGUCG